Molecule: ribosomal RNA, 183 nt
Filed under: Staphylococcus aureus
Lineage: Bacteria; Bacillati; Bacillota; Bacilli; Caryophanales; Staphylococcaceae
Description: partial 16S ribosomal RNA
Rfam family: Bacterial small subunit ribosomal RNA
Source: RNAcentral
UUUUAUGGAGAGUUUGAUCCUGGCUCAGGAUGAACGCUGGCGGCGUGCCUAAUACAUGCAAGUCGAGCGAACGGACGAGAAGCUUGCUUCUCUGAUGUUAGCGGCGGACGGGUGAGUAACACGUGGAUAACCUACCUAUAAGACUGGGAUAACUUCGGGAAACCGGAGCUAAUACCGGAUAAU